Molecule: small RNA, 77 nt
Filed under: Flavobacterium crassostreae
Lineage: Bacteria; Pseudomonadati; Bacteroidota; Flavobacteriia; Flavobacteriales; Flavobacteriaceae
Description: Flavo-1 RNA
Rfam family: Flavo-1 RNA
Source: Rfam by way of RNAcentral
CUUUAAUCCCGAUGGCAGCGUGUAUCCUUUAUUGCCAGGGUUUGGCAAUAAAGAUACUGCGUACAGCGGGGCGACUU